Molecule: ribosomal RNA, 839 nt
Filed under: uncultured bacterium
Lineage: Bacteria
Description: bacterial SSU rRNA
Rfam family: Bacterial small subunit ribosomal RNA
Source: RNAcentral
GAAUCUGCCUUUAGAUGGGGGAUAACGAGCCGAAAGGUUCGCUAAUACCGCAUAGGUCGCAAGAUUAAAGGAGUAAUCCGUCUAGAGAUGAGCCCGCGUCCGAUUAGCUAGUUGGUAGGGUAAAGGCCUACCAAGGCGACGAUCGGUAGCUGGUCUGAGAGGAUGAUCAGCCACAAUGGGACUGAGACACGGCCCAUACUCCUACGGGAGGCAGCAGUGGGGAAUUUUACGCAAUGGGCGAAAGCCUGACGUAGCGACMCCGCGUGAGCGAAGAASCCCUUUGGGGUGUAAAGCUCUGUCGGCUGGAACGAAAAAAAUGACGGUACCAGCAAAGGAAGCAUCGGCUAACUACGUGCCAGCASCCGCGGUAAGACGUAGGAUGCGAGCGUUGUCCGGAUUUAUUGGGCGUAAAGAGUUCGUAGGUGGCUUGUCAAGUUUGAUGUUAAAGAUCGGGGCUCAACCCUGGGACUGCAUUGAAUACUGGCAGGCUUGAGUGUGGUAGAGGCUAGUGGAAUUCCCAGUGUAGCGGUGAAAUGCGUAGAUAUUGGGAAGAACACCGGUGGCGUAGGCGACUAGCUGGGCCAUAACUGACACUGAGGAACGAAAGCCAGGGUAGCGAAUGGGAUUAGAUACCCCAGUAGUCCUGGCCGUAAACGAUGGAUACUAGGCGUAUCGGGUAUCGACCCCUGAUGUGCCGCAGCUAACGCGAUAAGUAUCCCGCCUGAGUAGUACGGCCGCAAGGUUGAAACUCAAAGGAAUUGACGGGGGCCCGCACAAGCGGUGGAACAUGUGGUUUAAUUCGAAGCAACGCGAAGAAYCUUACCAGGGCUUGACAUGGU